AGUGAACGCUGGCGGUAGGCCUAACACAUGCAAGUCGAACGGCAGCACAGUAAGAGCUUGCUCUUACGGGUGGCGAGUGGCUGACGGGUGAGGAAUACAUCGGAAUCUACUUUUUUGUGGGGGAUAACGUAGGGAAACUUACGCUAAUACCGCAUACGACCUACGGGUGAAAGCAGGGGAUCUUCGGACCUUGCGCGAUUGAAUGAGCCGAUGUCGGAUUAGCUAGUUGGCGGGGUAAAGGCCCACCAAGGCGACGAUCCGUAGCUGGUCUGAGAGGAUGAUCAGCCACACUGGAACUGAGACACGGUCCAGACUCCGACGGGAGGCAGCAGUGGGGAAUAUUGGACGAUGGGCGCAAGCCUGAUCCAGCCAUACCGCGUGGGUGAAGAAGGCCUUCGGGUUGUAAAGCCCUUUUGUUGGGAAAGAAAAAAAGCAGGUUAAUACCCCGCUGUUAUGACGGUACCCAAAGAAUAAGCACCGGCUAACUUCGUG
This 492-nucleotide ribosomal RNA is filed under the name uncultured bacterium. RNAcentral describes it as "partial 16S ribosomal RNA". It matches the Rfam family "Bacterial small subunit ribosomal RNA", at positions 29 to 507 of the family's 1533-position model. The record is from RNAcentral.